UGUCUCAGUUCGGAUUGGAGUCUGCAACCCGACUCCAUGAAGCUGGAUUCGCUAGUAAUCGCGCAUCAGCCACGGCGCGGUGAAUACGUUCCCGGGCCUUGUACACACCGCCCGUCAAGCCAUGGAAGCCGGGGGUGCCUGAAGUGCGCUGCCGCAAGGAGCGCCCUAGGGUAAAACCGGUGACUGGGGCUAAGUCGUAACAAGGUACC
This 209-nucleotide ribosomal RNA is filed under the name uncultured bacterium. RNAcentral describes it as "partial 16S ribosomal RNA". It matches the Rfam family "Bacterial small subunit ribosomal RNA", at positions 1284 to 1500 of the family's 1533-position model. The record is from RNAcentral.